This 1298-nucleotide ribosomal RNA is filed under the name uncultured bacterium. RNAcentral's name for it is "bacterial SSU rRNA". It matches the Rfam family "Bacterial small subunit ribosomal RNA", at positions 95 to 1380 of the family's 1533-position model. The record is from RNAcentral.
GUGGCGAACGGGUGAGUAACACGUAGGAAUCUACCCUUAAGACGGGGACAACCCAGGGAAACUUGGGCUAAUACCGGAUGAGAGUGCGAGAGAUUGCAUUUAAAAGGAUGGCGAAAGUUGUCGCUUAGGGAUGAGCCUGCGGUCUAUUAGUUAGUUGGUGAGGUAAGAGCUCACCAAGGCGAUGAUAGAUAGGCGGCCUUAACGGGUGGUCGCCCACACUGGGAUUGAGAUACGGCCCAGACUCCUACGGGAGGCAGCAGUCGAGGAUAGUCUACAAUGGCCGGAAGGCGUGAUAGUGCGACGCCGCGUGAACGAGGGAGCCCUUCGGGGUGUAAAGUUCUUUUCUAUACGAGCAGUGCUAUAUAUAUGGAUAGUAUAUAUAGAGGGAUAGUAGUAUAGGAAUAAGCAACGGCUAACUCCGUGCCAGCAGCCGCGGUAACACGGGGGUUGCGAGCGUUGUCCGGAAUUACUAGGCGUAAAGGGCAGGUAGGCGGAUCUACGAGUUUUUUGUUAAAGGCUACGGCUCAACUGUAGUAGACAGGAGAUACUGUAGGUCUGGAAUGCGGUAGGGAAGACAGAAUUCCUGGUGUAGCGGUGGAAUGCGCAGAGAUCAGGAGGAAUACCGAAGGCGAAGGCAGUCUUCUAGGCCGUAAUUGACGCUUAACUGCGAAGGUGUGGGGAUCAAACAGGAUUAGAUACCCUGGUAGUCCACACAGUAAACGAUAAUCACCAGAUGUCGGGUUCUAUAUGGAUUCGGUGUCGGACUAACGCGAUAAGUGAUUCGCCUGGGGAGUACGAUCGCAAGGUUGAAACUCAAAGGAAUUGACGGGGGCCCGCACAAGCGGUGGAGCAUGUGGUUUAAUUCGAGGCAACGCGAAGAACCUUACCCGGUUUUGACAUCCACGGGAGGCUUCAGAGAUGGAGCUGUGCCGGCGUAAGCUGGAGCCGUGAGACAGGUGCUGCAUGGCUGUCGUCAGCUCGUGUCGUGAGAUGUUGGGUUAAGUCCCGCAACGAGCGCAACCCUUGCCUUCAGUUACCAUCGUUAAGUUGGGGACUCUAGAGGGACCGCUGCGGUAACAACGCAGAGGAAGAUGGGGACGACGUCAAGUCAUCAUGGUCCUUAUGGCCGGGGCUACACACGUGCUACAAUGGCAGUUACAGAGGGAUGCGAUUCAGUAAUGAGGAGCGAAACUCAGAAAAGUGCCGCAGUUCGGAUUGAGGUCUGCAACUCGGCCUCAUGAAGUCGGAAUCGCUAGUAAUCGCGCAACAUCAUGGCGCGGUGAAUACGUUCCCGGGCC